RNAcentral lists this ribosomal RNA (251 nucleotides) under uncultured prokaryote. Its description in RNAcentral is "partial 16S rRNA". It matches the Rfam family "Bacterial small subunit ribosomal RNA", at positions 525 to 775 of the family's 1533-position model. The record is from RNAcentral.
ACGUAAGUGGCGAGCGUUAUCCGGAAUCACUGGGCGUAAAGCGUUCGUAGGCGGCGCAGCUAGUUGGAUUUGAAAUCCCAGGGCUUAACUCUGGACCCGGAUCCAAAACUGCUGUGCUUGAGCGUAUCAGAGGGCAGUGGAAUUCCCGGUGUAGCGGUAAUAUGCGUAGAUAUCGGGAGGAACACCAGUGGCGAAGGCGGCUGCCUGGGGUAUUGCUGACGCUGAGGAACGAAAGCUAGGGGAGCGAACGG